UGGUAGGUACUGUGCUGUCAGG
RNAcentral lists this unclassified non-coding RNA (22 nucleotides) under Mus musculus (house mouse). RNAcentral's name for it is "oocyte_clustered_small_RNA9183". The record is from RNAcentral. Lineage: Eukaryota; Metazoa; Chordata; Mammalia; Rodentia; Muridae.